CUUGAAAUAGCUCAGUUGGGGGAGCAUUAGACUGAAGAUCUAAAGGGCCCUGGUUUCAUGA
Molecule: transfer RNA, 61 nt
Filed under: Erinaceus europaeus (western European hedgehog)
Lineage: Eukaryota; Metazoa; Chordata; Mammalia; Eulipotyphla; Erinaceidae
Rfam family: tRNA
About the family: Transfer RNA (tRNA) molecules are approximately 80 nucleotides in length.
Source: Rfam by way of RNAcentral